RNAcentral lists this ribosomal RNA (253 nucleotides) under uncultured bacterium. RNAcentral describes it as "partial 16S ribosomal RNA". It matches the Rfam family "Bacterial small subunit ribosomal RNA", at positions 524 to 776 of the family's 1533-position model. The record is from RNAcentral.
UACGAAGGGAGCUAGCGUUGUUCGGAAUCACUGGGCGUAAAGCGCACGUAGGCGGCCUUGCAAGUGACGGGUGAAAUCCCUCGGCUUAACCGAGGAACUGCCUGUCAGACUGCAUGGCUUGAGACCGGGAGAGGUGAGUGGAAUUCCCAGUGUAGCGGUGAAAUGCGUAGAUAUUGGGAGGAACACCAGUGGCGAAGGCGGCUCACUGGACCGGUACUGACGCUGAGGCGCGAAAGCGUGGGGAGCAAACAGG